This 752-nucleotide long non-coding RNA is filed under the name Homo sapiens (human). RNAcentral describes it as "HSALNT0364081". Lineage: Eukaryota; Metazoa; Chordata; Mammalia; Primates; Hominidae. The record is from RNAcentral.
AUUACACCCGCCAGACUCCUUUGCAGCUUGAGUUCCACAUAAAAAUUAGAUUCUACCCCUGAGUGGCAGUAGCAGGAGAUUUAGAAAGCAGAAUUGCAACAGAAACUCUUGCUGCUGCUAUUGGUUCUGGCAAGCAAGGUCCUGAAACAGGUUAUUGGAAGUUCCUGGUGAUGGCAGCCAUUCUCUGAUUUCUUGCAUUGAGCUUCCAGUUCUCAUGUGUGACAGGCAGUUGGGAAAGCAGCUGGUGGGGAAUGCAGCAGCUUCUUGACAACCGAAUCACAGCUAGUAUGAUGUAUCCUUGAACUAAACAGUCCAGUGGUCAUCCCCUGACUGCUGCUGCCCCAGCUCAUCCAAUCAUUUGGUGGGCCUCAUGCAGUAAGUUGAAGGUUGUAAGAGCAAAGAUAGAAGGCCUUCCCAAAGAAUGAGGACUUCUGCCUGAGGAUAGCAAAUACCAAUUCUGCAUGGGUUUCCUGGCUUCAGACUCAAGAAUGCAAUAUCAACUCUUACUGGAAUUUCUAUCCUACCAGCUUGCCCUGCAAAUUUCAGACUUGCCAGCCCUUGCAAUUGUCUUCUUUGAUUCCUGGGCCAGGUGCAUAUUUUGCUCCGUGAUGAAGGACAUCAACAAGUUUCUGUUGCAGAAUACCCCCAACAUUCAAACUGGAGUUUGGAGGUGAACCAAGGUUCCACGCUGACUUCAUGAAAUAAAUUAAUCAAUGGACUUUCCCUAUAUUCUGCAAGACCCUGGAUAGGCA